CUCCACCCCCAUUUUGAGGGAGGUGCUUUGCUUUUAUGGUGUUGCCUCUACUCAGCUUGUCCCCAAUUUUUUUAGGAAGUGAUAGGGGUAGUCACUUUGAAUGAAAUUCUGGGGAUACAUCUAGGGCUCUCGGAGAUUAGAUAUUGCUAUAACUUUGUCCCAACCUCCAAGGAAAGGUUAAAGUUUUAUAUCAAGACCAGAAACAAGAAACACUAGUUAGUUUAGAUACUUCUUAACUCUGGCAAGGAUAAACAUAACAUUAUUGUGAUCGUUGAGGGAAACUGGAAGUUUCCCCUUGGUGCUGAUAGGGUAUGGCACAUACCCAAGGUCUUCAACCGACUAGAUCCUACAGUUUUUGCUUAUCACAGUGAGUGGGAAGGCCAGGUUAACAUCUUACUCCUUCAGCAAGCCUAGGAUUACAAAGGCCCUCUUGAGCAAAAAGGCCAAGGUCAGAUGGCUCAUAUCCUCCUCUGUUACAUGCCUUAUUACGGCACGAUUGUUGCCAUUGAAGGCAUCUCCCUUAAAGCCAAUGGUGGGAUUGAUUUCUACCUGCUUCCUCAUCUUGAAAAGGAGCUAAAGGUUGAAGAGGUCCCUGCUGUGGAGGAAGAACAAAUCCGAGACGAUCCAUCAGAUUCUGAAGCUACCAUCUCUGAAGUUAUGCCACCAAAGAAUUUUCUGGACAUCCUUGCUCAUUGGAAGCGUCAAAAAGAGGGUGUCAACAUCGACUACUUCUAAACAAUCACCAAUAAUAGUUGUUGAGGAUGCCCCUCUUGCCCUGCCAGUCCCGACCUUCCUCCUCCCAAAUAAGCUCUAGUAAACAUCCAGCCAAACAAUUGACUGAGGGACAUAAGAAGUACAGAGCUGACCUUUCUCUCACUCAUGUUGUUGUAUCUUCUCAAGAGAUAGCUUUUGUCAGUUCCCCUGUUAUUCUAACGCCUGCUUUGAAGGAUCGAUCGCUAGUCAGCACCGACUCUGCGAUAAGCGAUGCCGAACUAGCUGAUGCCGUGGUCCACAAUCUCAUCCUCCCAAUAGACGAUGGUCAACUACGUGAUCAGUCCGAUGUGGCCAUCUUCUCUCAUGCCUUGUACUUUUCUUUGUUGGGUUUUUAUUUUUCUCAUAAGGCCAUGCGCCGUCAACUCAUCCGAGUUGCUAAUAAGCUCAAAUCCUCCAAAUAAAGACAGGAAAAAAAGGUAAAGGAGAUAGAGCUAAGGCUAUCAGCUUCUGAAGAUAGGGUAGUGGAGGCAGAGAAAAAACUUCAAACGAUGGAUACCGUGUUGAAGUCCUCUGCCGAAGAGAUUGCCGCCUUAAAAGAAGAAAGACAGUAGCUUUCCACUGUUUUUGACACAUUCAAGGCCAGUCAUAAGGCAGCUAUUAAAGCUGCAAAUGAAAAGGGUAUAGUAAGGCCACAACCAGUUAUGGGCAGUAGUUCGUCAAGUUGGAGAACAUUCUUUUUUAGGAUGGAUAGAUGACUGCUCUUUGGGCUGCUAAGUUUCCAGAGGGACCCGAGCGGAUGAAUACCAUUCCCUAACCCCGUCCUGAGGCCUUGGAGAACCCAGAAAGUGCUGACACUGGCAGAGAUGAUCCCCUUACUACCAACUAAAGAAUUUAGCUUUUUCUCUUCCAUUUUGUUUUUAGUGUGAAAUUUUGAGAAUUGGUUUUUGUACAAAUGAUAUGGAUUUUUUUUUUCUUUAAUGUGAAUUCCUUUGCUUUUCUAUCCUCUAUCUAUCUGAAUGUUGUUGUAUCGUGGUA
Camellia sinensis is the source of this 1749-nucleotide non-coding RNA. NCBI's taxonomy places the organism in Eukaryota, Viridiplantae, Streptophyta, Magnoliopsida, Ericales, Theaceae. The record is from RefSeq and is a predicted model, not a curated record.